This 509-nucleotide ribosomal RNA is filed under the name uncultured bacterium. Its description in RNAcentral is "bacterial SSU rRNA". It matches the Rfam family "Bacterial small subunit ribosomal RNA", at positions 29 to 524 of the family's 1533-position model. The record is from RNAcentral.
AACGAACGCUGGCGGCGCGUUUUAAGCAUGCAAGUCGAACGGUAGAGAAACUUCGGUUUCUUGAGAGUGGCGAACGGGUGAGUAACACGUAGAUGAUCUGCCUUGAAGUUGGGGAUAGCCUAUAGAAAUAUAGGGUAAUACCGAAUAAUUUUUUACUACUUUGGUAGUUUAAGGAAAGGGGCUUCGGCCUCGCUUUAAAGAUGAGUCUGCGGUCUAUUAGCUAGUUGGUAGGGUAAUAGCCUACCAAGGCGACGAUAGAUAGCCGGCCUGAGAGGGUGACCGGCCACAUUGGGACUGAGACACGGCCCAAACUCCUACGGGAGGCAGCAGCUAAGAAUCUUCCGCAAUGGGCGAAAAGCCUUGACGGAGCGACGCCGCGUGGACGAAGAAUGCCGAGAGGUUGUAAAGUCCUUUUAUUUGCGAAGAAUAAUGCCUGUAGGUAAUGACAGGCAGAUGACGUUAGCUUAUGAAUAAGCUCCGGCCAAUUACGUGCCAGCAGCCGCGGUUAA